Molecule: ribosomal RNA, 531 nt
Filed under: Eucnemidae sp. UPOL RK0125
Lineage: Eukaryota; Metazoa; Arthropoda; Insecta; Coleoptera; Eucnemidae
Description: partial 16S ribosomal RNA
Rfam family: Bacterial large subunit ribosomal RNA (bases 396-531)
Source: RNAcentral
CAUGUCUUUUUGAUUUAUAAUUUAAAGUUUAAUCUGCCCAGUGAUGUUCAUUUAACGGCCGCAGUAUUGUGACUGUGCAAAGGUAGCGUGAUAAUUAGUUUUUUAAUUGAAAACUGGUAUGAAGGAUUGGACGAGGAGAAUUCUGUCUCAAUAAAAUUGUUAUAAAAUUUAAUUUUUAAGUUAAAAAGCUGAGAUAUUUUUAGAGGACGAGAAGACCCUAUAGAGUUUUAAAUUUUAAAAAUUUAUUAAUAUUGGUUAAAAUUAUUUUGUAUAUUUUCAUUAAAAUUUUAGGUUGGGGUGAUUUAAAGAUUUAAGUAACUCUUUAUAAAUUUAACAAUGAUUUUUGAAUUUAGGAGCCAUAAGUGUAAGUGAUUUUAAGAUUAAAUUACCUUAGGGAUAACAGCGUAAUUUCUUAUAAAGUUCAUAUUGGAUUAGAAGUUUGCGACCUCGAUGUUGGAUUAAAAUUAAAUUAUGGUGCAGAAGCUAUAAGAUUAAGUCUGUUCGACUUUUAAAAUUUUACAUGAUCUGAGU